UGGAGAGUUUGAUCCUGGCUCAGAUUGAACGCUGGCGGCAGGCCUAACACAUGCAAGUCGAACGGUAACAGGGAGCAGCUUGCUGCUYYGCUGACGAGUGGCGGACGGGUGAGUAAUGUCUGGGAAACUGCCUGAUGGAGGGGGAUAACUACUGGAAACGGUAGCUAAUACCGCAUAACGUCUUCGGACCAAAGUGGGGGACCUUCGGGCCUCAUGCCAUCAGAUGUGCCCAGAUGGGAUUAGCUAGUAGGUGGGGUAACGGCUCACCUAGGCGACGAUCCCUAGCUGGUCUGAGAGGAUGACCAGCCACACUGGAACUGAGACACGGUCCAGACUCCUACGGGAGGCAGCAGUGGGGAAUAUUGCACAAUGGGCGCAAGCCUGAUGCAGCCAUGCCGCGUGUAUGAAGAAGGCCUUCGGGUUGUAAAGUACUUUCAGCGGGGAGGAAGGUGUUGUGGUUAAUAACCGCAGCAAUUGACGUUACCCGCAGAAGAAGCACCGGCUAACUCCGUGCCAGCAGCCGCGGUA
Molecule: ribosomal RNA, 528 nt
Filed under: Cronobacter sakazakii
Lineage: Bacteria; Pseudomonadati; Pseudomonadota; Gammaproteobacteria; Enterobacterales; Enterobacteriaceae
Description: bacterial SSU rRNA
Rfam family: Bacterial small subunit ribosomal RNA
Source: RNAcentral